RNAcentral lists this long non-coding RNA (5415 nucleotides) under Gossypium barbadense (sea-island cotton). RNAcentral's name for it is "long non-coding RNA (GBAR_LNC010345)". Lineage: Eukaryota; Viridiplantae; Streptophyta; Magnoliopsida; Malvales; Malvaceae. The record is from RNAcentral.
AUGAAGUUUUAUUAAAAGAAAAAGGGGUGAAAAGAACAAAGUUUUGUCCAUCUUUGUUCAUCAUAGCUGAAAGUUAGAGAAGAGAAAGGAGAGGAGAAAGCUCUUGAGUAUUCGGUCAUUAGGAGGAGGAAAAUUGAAGGUAAGUUCUUGGUACCUUGCUUCUAUUUUGAGGUUCAUGAGUUCUUCUUGAUUCUACCUUAACUCUUGAAGUAUAUUUUGAUUUUUAGUUGUGUUGUGAGCAUUUAGUCAUGAAUUAAAAUGAAGGAAAUGGUUGUUGUUUCAUGUUCUUUUGAUGAAAAAUGGAAGAUAGGUGAAGUUGAGCCAAACAAAUGAGCAUGCAUGUGCCUUAGAUGUUAAAGGGAAAAAUCAGCUAACAUGUUGUGCUUUAAAAUGAUGAAAUGGAGAUUAUACUUAAGUAAAAUCAUAGAUAUGUGAUGAUUGAUUGGUGAUAUACAUGUUUAAAUAACAUGCAUGCAAGGUAUGUGUGAAAGAGUGAUUUGGUAAUAAAUCUGCUUGGGGCAGCAGCAGUAACGUGACUUUGGAAAAUCACCAUAAAUUGUGGGAGAUGAAUUAGAAGCUGAAUAAAUCAUGUAAUUAAAUUCUAUUGAGUCUAGUUUCAAAUGAAAUAAACGAGAACAUAUUUUGAAUUCUGUACAAUGAGAAAUUUGAUUCGUAAUGAAGAGUGGUCAGAUUAGUCAAAUAGUGAAACAUCCGAAACUUUGAGAAAAAUCUGGUAUUGAUUGGCAAAACAAAAAAUUCUGAAAAUUUUAUGGAUAUAAGAUAUAUGAGUCUAUUUUCAGGGAAAAUUAACGGCACUUGAUUUGGAGUUUCGUAGCUCCAGUUAUAAAUGAUUUAGUGACUGUUGCUCAGGAAGACAGCUUGCAGUGAAAUUAUGAUUAUGUGGUAAACAUUGACAAAAAUUUGUUAAUGAGUUGCUUAUUGAUUUCUUAUAAGCUUACUAUGAUUUGUAGGUGUGGUUGGCUGAAUAUUGUAAGGGGUUAAUACGUAGUUUGUAUUCGAAUAGUUAGAUUAACGUGUUAGUAAUCCAAUUGUAGGCGGUUCGUGUGUGGAUCUCGUCAGUAUAUCGUCGCAAACAGGUGUGUAACUAACACCCUCUUUCUUAGUCUAGAUCGGCAAAAGUCGAAAAGCCGAAAUGCCGAAAACCGGUAUUUUGUAGAUUUGCGAGUGUGCGAAUGCUCGCGAGGUAAAUCGAUUAAUGUUUUAGGUAAGUUGCAAUGUUUUGACUACAAAGUGCAUGAUUUCUGUGCCCUCGAUAUUUUUGGGCUUAAUGGGCCAAAAUUGGAAUGAUGGGCCAACGGGCCCAAUUCGGUAAGAACCCUCGGUACGUGAUUCUGUUAGUACGUGAAAAGUAGGAAUAUGCAUGAAAAACUCUAAAAUAGAUAAAUUACUGAAAUACCUUUAAAAGUGGAAAAUUUACAGUUUUACCCCUAGUAGAUAAAUUACCGAAAUACCCCUAGGGUUAAAUUGACCUAAAUGCAUGUUUGACUGUUGUUAUUUACUGCAUGCCAUGUUGUUAUUAUCUAAUGCAUGGGACUGGGAUAUUGAUGGAGGAAGUACUGAAAGUGGCUUGUCCACGUACUGGAGGCUUUGCCCUAAUUUACUGUUAACUGAGCAGCAAGGCUGCAACUGUGGAGUGUUGGGCUGGGUGGGUUGGGCUAUUCCCCACAUGGAGUGUAUGGCUGGUACGGGUGGAGUGUAGUGGUUGGUGGGUUGAGUAGUCUCCCCAAAUGGGCUUGCAUAUGUUUACUGAUGUUGCAUGUAUUUUGAAAUGGGCCUAUGGGCCAUACUGUUAUCUAAAUAAGGGGCUAAGGCCCAGUUUAUUGUAACCUGAAAAGGGCUCUGCCCCAGUACCACUGUUACCUGAAUGGGCUUAGGCCCAAUAGGCUUGAGCUGACUUGGGCUUUGAAUGGGUUUUCCUUACACACUGAGUUUCCCCAAACUCACCCCUUUUAUUUUCAUCCACGCAGGAAAUCCCCAACCAUAGUGGGCUUGGAGCUGUGAGGAAAUUCGGAUUGGCCACCCGUUCUGAAAGUUUGGUUUUCUUCUGGUGAACUGGACAUCCUUUUAUUUACGUUUGAAGUUUUGGGUUUUUAAAUGUAAUAAGGCCGCUUAAUUAUUUUUAAUGGUUUUAAUAUGUAUUACUAAGAUAGGUAUUACUUAUUUUAACUGUUGAAAUUGGAUAGCUUUAGGGCGCGUUUUCAAAAACAACAGUUGAUUUCAAAAUAACACGACAACAAGCAAAGCUUCCGCAAUGAAAGUAUUUUCCAAAAUUAAUCACUUUUCCUAAAAAUGACUUAAUCAAAUCAGUUUCCUAGAAAUAUCCAUGAUGUUAAGGUGUGGCAAUGGCGGUAUGCAUGUCUAGGAUUGGAUCCGAAGGGAGCUUGGUAUUUAAGCAGUCCGAUGGACUCACCACCUCUUUUCCGGUUUCCUACCUAGUGCACAGCUUCCAUUCACUUUAACCUAUAAUGAAAUUAUCUUUUAAAACACUAAGUAGGUUUUUUUCUGGAUCAACAAUAUAAAAUGUUUUGAACGCUUCGAUGUGGCAUGUCGGAUCCGGCCAUAACGUCUGGGCCGGGUUUGGGGUGCUACAAAAUUUCUAGAAAAUGAAUGAAAAAAAUAAAAUUACAUAGUUUUUUGCCACAAGGCAUUUCUUGGGUCUUCAAUUGCCAUCGCUCCAUCUUCUCCUUGUCAUGUACUCCUUUUGAUUAAUUACAUUUAAAUCCAUGUUCGUUUCUAGCUCACAAGAAUUCUAUGAAUUUUAAAAAAUAGUCCUAUGUCUAUUUCCUAAGAAUCACAACCUUGACAAUAAAAAAUAAUUAUAUAACAAAUAUAUAAUAUCGCACCCAUUCCCAUAUAUAACUCAAAACAUGCAUAAGAUCUAAAGAACUUCACUUUCUAUGUAAUCAAGUCAUUCAAGAAGAAGAGAAAUGUAACAGCCCGAUUUAGACCCUAAUCGAAACGGUAGUUUCGAGACCACGAAUCCGAGUUAGAAAAAUAUUUUAAUAUUAUUUUCCAUGCUUAUAAUAUGUGAAUUGAUAUCUGUGAAAGUUUCGUGUGGAAAUUUUAUUAUUUGUGUGCUUAAUUUGAAAAAAAUGACUUAAUCGCGUAAAAUGUAAAAGUGGCUAGCCAUUUGUUAAAAGUGCCUAUUUGCUUUUAUUAAAUAAAUUUAAGAUCCUUAUGAUGAAAUUGAACCAUUAUAAAGUUAGUGGAAUUAAUGGUUUGGCAAAGUUCUUAAAUGGAUUAUUUUUAAAGGUUAGUUUUGUAAAUUAGUAAAAUAAGUUAAUAAAAUAAAUCAAAUGCAUGAAAAUAAAGCCAUUAUCACCUUUGUUUUUGCCGAAAAUCAAAAGAAAGGAAAAGAUGAAAGCUUGUUGAACAUUCGGCUAUGGUUAGCUUGAGUUGGUAAGUGAAUUUUGUUCGGUUUUUGAUAAUUUCUAUGUUUUUGUGAUCGUUGCUUCGAAUACUAGUAAACCCAUGCUUCAAUUUUCGAAUUUGAUGAUGAAUUGGAGAAUUGCUAUUAAUGAUAGCUUGAUGUUUUUGUUGUUUGAUGAUGAAAAAUGAAUAUUUGUUGAUAGAUUAUUAUGUUUAAUUAAGUGGUUUUUGAUAAAAAUCCAAAUUUGGGAUUAAAUUGUGGAUUUUGUAAAUUAAGCGGUCAAAAUGUGAAAUAAAUGAAAGAAAUGGGCUGUUAUGAACCUUAGAAGCCUUAGAAAAAUUCAACUAUACUAGAGUUUAGUGAAAGUAUGUGUAUUUUGUGUUUUGUGAAAUAGGGACUAAAUUGCGAAAAAUGUGAAAUGUUAGGGGCAAAAUUGUAAUUAGCCUAUUUAUGUGUUUUUGGAUGAAUUUGAUUGAAUAUAUGAUUAAAUAAGUUGAAUUUGUAUUGAAUUAGAUCAAGAAAUGUAGAAAUCGGAUUUGGACCGGGGAAAAACCAAAGUUGUCGACUAGUUGUCUCAUCCUAAUUACCGUUGUCUGAGGUAAGUUUACAAGCAAAUAAACAUACUUAAUUUUAAUUAAUACAAAGUAUAUAUGCUGAAAUGAAAUAUAUGAAUUAAUAUAUGCUAAUGCUGAAUGUGUAUAAGCAUGGUAACUAUGUUCAUGCAUUCGUUUCGACUGAGCUAUAACAUUUGAAAGUCCGUAUAAACUAUAUGGAAUAUUUGGAAUUUUUGAUAUAUGAAUUGUUUACGAGACAACUUUAUAAUAGUGAUAUUCGGGCUUUGAGACUAGCAAGCCUUGUGCUGGUGAAUUAAAUCGGGCUUAUGCCUAGCAGGCUUAUUGUCAGUGUAUAAAAUCAGACUUUGAGUUUAGCAGGCCUUGUGCCGGUGUGAGAUUCAGGCUUAGGCCUAGCAGGCUUUAUGCCAGUGAAUUAUUAUAAGUUUAUGCCUAAAAGACUUUAUGCUGAUGUGGUAAUUGAAUACGUUAAACGAGCUAAAUGAUUAGGUAUGAGUUAGCUUUUUGUUUACUUGAAAAUAAGGUAAGCUGAUUAUUUGAUAUGUGAUACAAACAUAUGUAUGAUGUUAGUCUGAAAUUUGUGAGUAAUUGUGAAAUAUAUUCAGCCAAAGUUAAGCAUAAUUAUGUGGUAUAAAGGUUUGAGACAUGAUUAUAUGAAAACAAGUGUUUAAAGAUUCGACUUUAUGCAUUAAUAAUAUGAUUUUCAUAGUGUAUGACAUUUUGGUAUAGAUACAUGUAUAUUCGGCUACACGAUAAGUGUAAUUAUGAGAUAUUAAAGUUUGAUUCAAGAAUAUAUGUUUGUGGGUGUGUAUAUUCGAUUAUAUAAUGGUAUUAUGGUUUUGAAAUUGAAUGUUACAUUGAUAAUAGUUAUAGUACAUUCGUUCAAAGGUUACGUAUAGUGAUAUCAUAUUGUGGCCUAUGUGCAAAUUUAUAUAAAUGAUUAUAUAUUGCCUAAAUGAUAUAAAGAAAGAAUAAUGAUAAGUGAUUCAUGAAUAUAUGUAUAUGAUUUUAUAUAUUUAUUCAGUUAAUUAUUGAUAAUGUGGCUUUGAAAUUUGAAUGAUAUAUAUAUUAAUAUUAGUUGUAUGGAUAUUUGGUAAAAGUGAAAGUAUAUGUAUUAUAUGAAAUUAUAAGUUUGAAGUUAAAUGUGAUUAUGAUAGUAUAAAUUGGUUUGGUAAUUAAAUCGAUAUUGACAAUGAGUUAUUUAUUUGCUUAUAGCUUACUAAGCUCUCAAAGCUUAUUCUGUGUGUUUUUCCUAUGUUUAUAGAUUUUCAGAGAUCUGCUCGAGUUGUAAGUCAGUGGAGAUGACAUCACACUAUACGGUUAUCAUUUCAGUAAAUAAUAUUUUAAGGCUCGGUUAUGUGGCAUGUAUAGGCUAGUCUUGAAGUUAAUUGUUUUGAAUGAGUAUGUAUUAAAGCCAUGCGAAAGUGGCUUAACUACCUUGCUUGAAAUCAG